GGGGGGGGGGGGGGGGGGGGGGGGGGCGUGCGGGUCGGGCGGGGGCGGGGGGGGGGGUGGCGCGGGGGGGCGGGGCGGGUGGGGCCCUGCGCUUAGGUUCGGAAUAACUCCCCGACAGGGGUGCUGAUGCCGGGGCACUUCUUCGGCCCGGAGAUUUAUCGCCUUGGGAUGGGCCCGCGUUCUAUUCGCGCGUUGGUAGGGUAAAAGCCGACCAAGGCGAGGCUCCAUAGCUGGUCUGCGAGGAUGAGCAGCGACACUGGGACUGAGACACGGCCCAGACUCCUACGGAAGGAAGCAGUGGGGAAUAUUGGACAAUGGGCGAAAGCCUGAUCCAGCAAGGCCGGGUGAGUGAUGAAGGCCUUAGGGUUGUAAAGCGCGUUUACCCGGGAUAAUAAUGACAGUACCGGGAGAAUAAGCACCGGCUAACUCCGUG
RNAcentral lists this ribosomal RNA (433 nucleotides) under uncultured bacterium. RNAcentral describes it as "partial 16S ribosomal RNA". It matches the Rfam family "Bacterial small subunit ribosomal RNA", at positions 38 to 507 of the family's 1533-position model. The record is from RNAcentral.